CGAACCGGGAAGAGCCCA
RNAcentral lists this small nuclear RNA (18 nucleotides) under Arabidopsis thaliana (thale cress). RNAcentral's name for it is "snRNA_19041". The record is from RNAcentral. Lineage: Eukaryota; Viridiplantae; Streptophyta; Magnoliopsida; Brassicales; Brassicaceae.